RNAcentral lists this ribosomal RNA (79 nucleotides) under Rossellomorea aquimaris. Its description in RNAcentral is "Bacillus aquimaris partial 23S ribosomal RNA". Lineage: Bacteria; Bacillati; Bacillota; Bacilli; Caryophanales; Bacillaceae. The record is from RNAcentral.
ACUAGGUAGAUAGGUCAGAGAUGGAAGCAUGGCGACAUGUGGAGUUGACUGAUACUAAUCGAUCGAGGACUUAACCACA